AUUGAACGCUGGCGGCAGGCUUAACACAUGCAAGUCGAGCGGGGUGAUGGUGCUUGCACUAUCACUUAGCGGCGGACGGGUGAGUAAUGCUUAGGAAUCUGCCUAUUAGUGGGGGACAACAUCUCGAAAGGGAUGCUAAUACCGCAUACGUCCUACGGGAGAAAGCAGGGGAUCACUUGUGACCUUGCGCUAAUAGAUGAGCCUAAGUCGGAUUAGCUAGUUGGGGGGGUAAAGGCCUAACAAGGCGACGAUCUGUAGCGGGUCUGAGAGGAUGAUCCGCCACACUGGGAAUGAGACACGGCCCAGACUCCUACGGGAGGCAGCAGUGGGGAAUAUUGGACAAUGGGGGGAACCCUGAUCCAGCCAUGCCGCGUGUGUGAAGAAGGCCUUAUGGUUGUAAAGCACUUUAAGCGAGGAGGAGGCUCUUUUGGUUAAUACCCAAGAUGAGUGGACGUUACUCGCAGAAUAAGCACCGGCUAACUCUGUGCCAGCCGCCGCGGUAA
This 503-nucleotide ribosomal RNA is filed under the name uncultured bacterium. RNAcentral's name for it is "partial 16S ribosomal RNA". It matches the Rfam family "Bacterial small subunit ribosomal RNA", at positions 30 to 523 of the family's 1533-position model. The record is from RNAcentral.